UCAAAUCACAUACUUUUUUGCUUAGUUGUCUCCUUUGUUGAUUCGUUUGUAACAUCAUUAUUCUUAUACUGCUUAUCUCUCAAACUUGGCUUUGUGUGAAAGAACAAUAUUGGUUAUCAGAAGAGGCCAGGUCGGGACUUUAAAGUAAAUGUUCCAAUUAUUCACAGCCAUAUCGUCUAAUUUGGCCGUGACGUGUGAGUGAGCAUUGCCAUGAAACAAGGUUAUUUCACAACUGCAUCGUAUACAUACCGUAUUUGUUUAACUUUCAUUAAAUUGUUCUUCUUUCUAAUUGCUCAAUCAUUCAACAUUAUCACGAUAAAUUUCACAAGGUUGGCAAUGAAUGUUAGUUGGCUUGUUUUAUUGUUCGCUUUAAGAAAUAUGAUGACUGAUUGCUCUUCACAGUCAACUUGAGAGUUAAUGGACUUAAAUAAUUGUAACAAUGAAAAGAAGUUACAAAUGCAAUAUGAUUGUGAAGUAGUGGUGUAUUUUCAAAGCCAGGAAGAUGAGGAAUUUAGUGCGCUUUUGUGAAGUACAGACUAUUAUGGAACUGUGACAGCAAAGUGAAACACCAGUAACUAACUGUUCAAAAAUACCCUGUGCUUAUGUUCAGGAAUACAUGUAACCUUUUACAUUUAAAAAGUGCAAAUGUUUAAAAAGAAUUUAUAGAACCUUUUAUUAACUUUACUAAUACAUUGUUCAGCUAGCCAAUAGUUCAAGAUUAAAUUGCAUUACAUAUUAAAUUAAUUUGAUUUUCAAGUGAUCUACAGUGGGAGGCGUGUAGGUGUGCCCUUGAACUUUGCCAGUGAAUAAGUGAGGGUGGUGACAAGGUAUGGUUUGGGGGAGAAAGUGUUCAUUUCUGCAAAAAUAAACUAGGCACUCUCAGCUCUUACCUUUCCUGCUCUCUAGUCAUUUAUACACAGAUUGAUGUCUUUAUAUAUGACUGUACAACUUGGCCUACUUUGGUCUUGCGUACUGCUACAUGCCUCCCUUCUACUAUACCUUUUUCUUGAUGUAGACAUAUUCUGGUCCUAUCAAGUGAUUGUAUAUUUACUCCAGUUGGUCUUGGACACAUCUUGGUAUACCUUCGUAUAUUAGGACAUAAGUCAGGAUUGGCCGGUAUGGGAUUAACAGGGACAGAAACUCUUGUCACUGGUGAAAUAUGAUAUGAGUGAACAUCACUAAUGAAUGUUUCCAAUGGCAUUUACUUAUUGUUUACUUCACUGUCAGAAUAAACACAUGUUACAUCUUA
Homalodisca vitripennis (glassy-winged sharpshooter) is the source of this 1249-nucleotide long non-coding RNA. RefSeq lists it as uncharacterized. The transcript is spliced from 2 exons. The record is from RefSeq and is a predicted model, not a curated record. Lineage: Eukaryota; Metazoa; Arthropoda; Insecta; Hemiptera; Cicadellidae.